UAGGCCGUUACCCUACCAACUAUCUAAUCUUGCGCGUGCCCAUCUCUAUCCACCGGAGUUUUCAAUAUUAAUUGAUGCCAAUCAAUAUAUUAUGGGGUAUUAAUCUUCCUUUCGAAAGGCUAUCCCCCUGAUAAAGGCAGGUUGCACACGUGUUCCGCACCCGUACGCCGCUCUCUCUGUCCCGAAAGACAAAUACCGCUCGGCUUGCAUGKGAKAGCACGGSCCMKAUGGGUUGUUAARUAUUUUKGGGUAUAGGGRUAAACCUACUCCUUGUGAKGAGAGARSSUGAAGGUACUAUAMGAAWAAGCACCGGCUAACUCCGUGCCAGCAGCCGCGGUAAUACGGAGGGUGCAAGCGUUAUCCGGAUUUAUUGGGUUUAAAGGGUCCGUAGGCGGAUCUGUAAGUCAGUGGUGAAAUCUCACAGCUUAACUGUGAAACUGCCAUUGAUACUGCAGUUCUUGAGUAAGGUAGAAGUGGCUGGAAUAAGUAGUGUAGCGGUGAAAUGCAUAGAUAUUACUUAGAACACCAAUUGCGAAGGCAGGUCACUAUGUCUUAACUGACGCUGAUGGACGAAAGCGUGGGGAGCGAACAGGAUUAGAUACCCUGGUAGUCCACGCCGUAAACGAUGCUAACUCGUUUUUGGGUCUUCGGAUUCAGAGACUAAGCGAAAGUGAUAAGUUAGCCACCUGGGGAGUACGAACGCAAGUUUGAAACUCAAAGGAAUUGACGGGGGCCCGCACAAGCGGUGGAUUAUGUGGUUUAAUUCGAUGAUACGCGAGGAACCUUACCAAGGCUUAAAUGGGAAUUGACAGACGCAGAAAUGUGUUUUUCUUCGGACAAUUUUCAAGGUGCUGCAUGGUUGUCGUCAGCUCGUGCCGUGAGGUGUUAGGUUAAGUCCUGCAACGAGCGCAACCCCUGUCACUAGUUGCCAUCAUUAAGUUGGGGACUCUAGUGAGACUGCCUACGCAAGUAGAGAGGAAGGUGGGGAUGACGUCAAAUCAUCACGGCCCUUACGCCUUGGGCCACACACGUAAUACAAUGGCCGGUACAGAGGGCAGCUACCUAGCGAUAGGAUGCAAAUCUCGAAAGCCGGUCUCAGUUCGGAUUGGAGUCUGCAA
Molecule: ribosomal RNA, 1118 nt
Filed under: Chryseobacterium sp. MYb275
Lineage: Bacteria; Pseudomonadati; Bacteroidota; Flavobacteriia; Flavobacteriales; Weeksellaceae
Description: bacterial SSU rRNA
Source: RNAcentral